Molecule: ribosomal RNA, 324 nt
Filed under: uncultured eukaryote
Lineage: Eukaryota
Description: partial 18S ribosomal RNA
Rfam family: Eukaryotic small subunit ribosomal RNA
Source: RNAcentral
CCCUUAGAUGUUCUGGGCUGCACGCGCGCUACACUGAAGCUAUCAACACUUUUUCCCUCCCUGAGAAGGGCGGGUAACCUUUUGAAUCAGCUUCGUGGUAGGGAUCGGGGCUUGCAAUUGUUCCCCGUGAACCAGGAAUUCCUAGUAGACGCGAGUCAUAAGCUCGCAUCGAUUAAGUCCCUGCCCUUUGUACACACCGCCCGUCGCUACUACCGAUUGAACGUUUUAGUGAGGCAUUUGGACCGACGCAUCUCAGUUUAACCGCUGGUUUGUGUUGGAAAGACUUCCAAACUUGAGCGUUUAGAGGAAGUAAAAGUCGUAACA